GUGUCAGCCGCCGCGGUAAUACGUAGGUGGCAAGCGUUGUCCGGAAUUAUUGGGCGUAAAGCGCGCGCAGGUGGUUUCUUAAGUCUGAUGUGAAAGCCCACGGCUUAACCGUGGAGGGUCAUUGGAAACUGGGAGACUUGAGUGCAGAAGAGGAAAGUGGAAUUCCAAGUGUAGCGGUGAAAUGCGUAGAGAUUUGGAGGAACACCAGUGGCGAAGGCGACUUUCUGGUCUGCAACUGACGCUGAGGCGCGAAAGCAUGGGGAGCAAACAGGAUUAGAUACCCUGGUAGUCCAUGCCGUAAACGAUGAGUACUAGGUGUGGGGGGUCUGACCCCCUCCGUGCCGGAGUUAACACAAUAAGUAAUCCACCUGGGGAGUACGACCGCAAGGUUGAAACUUAAAGGAAUUGACGG
RNAcentral lists this ribosomal RNA (412 nucleotides) under uncultured bacterium. RNAcentral describes it as "bacterial SSU rRNA". It matches the Rfam family "Bacterial small subunit ribosomal RNA", at positions 505 to 916 of the family's 1533-position model. The record is from RNAcentral.